UUGGUGCCUUCGGGAACUGUGAGACAGGUGCUGCAUGGCUGUCGUCAGCUCGUGUUGUGAAAUGUUGGGUUAAGUCCCGCAACGAGCGCAACCCUUAUCCUUUGUUGCCAGCGGUUAGGCCGGGAACUCAAAGGAGACUGCCAGUGAUAAACUGGAGGAAGGUGGGGAUGACGUCAAGUCAUCAUGGCCCUUACGACCAGGGCUACACACGUGCUACAAUGGCAUAUACAAAGAGAAGCGACCUCGCGAGAGCAAGCGGACCUCAUAAAGUAUGUCGUAGUCCGGAUUGGAGUCUGCAACUCGACUCCAUGAAGUCGGAAUCGCUAGUAAUCGUAGAUCAGAAUGCUACGGUGAAUACGUUCCCGGGCCUUGUACACACCGCCCGUCACACCAUGGGAGUGGGUUGCAAAAGAAGUAGGUAGCUUA
RNAcentral lists this ribosomal RNA (426 nucleotides) under Klebsiella pneumoniae. RNAcentral describes it as "bacterial SSU rRNA". It matches the Rfam family "Bacterial small subunit ribosomal RNA", at positions 1011 to 1437 of the family's 1533-position model. The record is from RNAcentral. Lineage: Bacteria; Pseudomonadati; Pseudomonadota; Gammaproteobacteria; Enterobacterales; Enterobacteriaceae.